AGACCUCCCACCCUUGUGUAUUAUUACUUUGUUGCUUUGGCGAGCUGCCUUCGGGCCUUGUAUGCUCGCCAGAGAAUACCAAAACUCUUUUUAUUAAUGUCGUCUGAGUACUAUAUAAUAGUUAAAACUUUCAACAACGGAUCUCUUGGUUCUGGCAUCGAUGAAGAACGCAGCGAAAUGCGAUAAGUAAUGUGAAUUGCAGAAUUCAGUGAAUCAUCGAAUCUUUGAACGCACAUUGCGCCCCUUGGUAUUCCGGGGGGCAUGCCUGUUCGAGCGUCAUUUCAACCCUCAAGCUUAGCUUGGUAUUGAGUCUAUGUCAGUAAUGGCAGGCUCUAAAAUCAGUGGCGGCGCCGCUGGGUCCUGAACGUAGUAAUAUCUCUCGUUACAGGUUCUCGGUGUGCUUCUGCCAAAACCCAAAUUUUUCUAUGGUUGACCUCGGAUCAGGUAGGGAUACCCGCUGAACUUAAGCAUAU
Molecule: ribosomal RNA, 473 nt
Filed under: Botryotinia sp. XAE_014
Lineage: Eukaryota; Fungi; Ascomycota; Leotiomycetes; Helotiales; Sclerotiniaceae
Description: eukaryotic LSU rRNA
Rfam family: 5.8S ribosomal RNA (bases 126-279)
Source: RNAcentral